AAUAUCACUUUAGAAGAUUCACAUUAGUAAACACUAAUGGACCCAUUCAUUGAGUUCACAAAAGUUAAACAUUUCAUAAUCAAUGAAUCGUAGCUUAUUAAGACUUGCAGCUCAAACCAACCAUUAGCAUGUUCAGAUUAAAUAUUAAUCGCAAAACAGUUGGGAAUUUUUAUUAAACGGCAAAGAGCAUAAAGCUUUCGUUUCUCUUGCUUCCUUGAGAGAAAAAAAACAGUCCUAAUAUCCUUAUUAUCUUUUUAAUUUAGGUGUAAUUGCUGUUUUGGGAUCACAGAGUCUGUUAUUGACACACUGAGCACUGGAGCUUGAAAUAGCAGUCUUAAUCAUGCAAGUCGCUGAAGGAGGCUCCCACUAGGUAAAGCGCUCUAAACGGGCGAUCCGUUCAUGAAGAUAUACGGAGAGCUGGCAGGUAGACUAUUUGUUUCCAUAAUCUUGAAAACCGUGUGAAAAGUUGAACAAGUUGGGAAUUCUGCACAUCCGAGCUUUCACCUGUUAUCUUAUCUCCUCCUCCUCCUCCUCGUCGUUGGGACUCGAGCAGCUUCCCUGGGAAGGUUAACGUCUUCAAAAAGGAGAAAAAGGAAGACAUUUUGUUUCUAGAGCAAAGAGGCAAAGGAUUCCAAGAUGAACGCUACCGGGAAUGCUGAACACCAGGGACUGCACCGGGAACGCUGAACACCAGGGACUGCACCGGGAACACUAACACUGAACACCAGGGACUGAAUCGCGCUACAGAGCUAAUCUCUUUGAAGAUGGACGUUCCCCCGAGAUGAAGACGGUGCGGGCCCACAGGGGAGCCUCUGCAGCCCCUGAUGGGCUACAACUGCCCCCAUCAGUGGGUGGAGUGAGGGGUACUCCAGCCCCAAAAACAUACUUUGAGCAGAGCUCUCCUGCACGUCCGUAACUUCAGCGAUGUAUAACUUGAAAGAAGAGGAUAAUUACACCUGAUGGGACAUGCAGCUGAGCCUCCUUUCAGACAUACACACACACACACAUUCACGCUCACACUCAUACACACACACACACACACGUGCUUACAC
Long non-coding RNA from Anguilla rostrata (American eel), 1052 nucleotides. RefSeq lists it as uncharacterized. NCBI's taxonomy places the organism in Eukaryota, Metazoa, Chordata, Actinopteri, Anguilliformes, Anguillidae. The transcript is spliced from 3 exons. The record is from RefSeq and is a predicted model, not a curated record.